UGAUGAUGAUGAGGGAAAUUCCUAAGCAUACCUUUGAAUCUUUCCAAAGUUUGGUUAAGAUUCUCUUUAUCUUUUUGCCUGAAACUCAGAAUCUCACUUCUCAAACG
Molecule: non-coding RNA, 107 nt
Organism: Capsicum annuum
Lineage: Eukaryota; Viridiplantae; Streptophyta; Magnoliopsida; Solanales; Solanaceae
Source: Rfam